This 465-nucleotide ribosomal RNA is filed under the name uncultured bacterium. RNAcentral describes it as "bacterial SSU rRNA". It matches the Rfam family "Bacterial small subunit ribosomal RNA", at positions 330 to 793 of the family's 1533-position model. The record is from RNAcentral.
UCCAGACUCCUACGGGAGGCAGCAGUGAGGAAUAUUGGUCAAUGGGCGCGAGCCUGAACCAGCCAAGUCGCGUGAGGGAGGACGGCCCUACGGGUUGUAAACCUCUUUUGUCAGGGAGCAAGGGACAGGUCGUGACCUGUUGUGAGAGUACCUGAAGAAAAAGCAUCGGCUAACUCCGUGCCAGCAGCCGCGGUAAUACGGAGGAUGCGAGCGUUAUCCGGAUUUAUUGGGUUUAAAGGGUGCGCAGGCGGAGGCACAAGUCAGCGGUAAAAUCGCGGGGCUCAACCCCGCUCCGCCGUUGAAACUGUGUCCCUUGAGUGCGCGAAGGGUAGGCGGAAUGCGUGGUGUAGCGGUGAAAUGCAUAGAUAUCGCGCAGAACUCCGAUUGCGAAGGCAGCGUACCGGCGCCAGACUGACGCUGAGGCACGAAAGCGUGGGGAUCGAACAGGAUUAGAUACCCCAGUAG